This is a non-coding RNA of Schizosaccharomyces pombe (fission yeast), 1244 nucleotides long. The record is from the annotation of a GenBank genome assembly. Lineage: Eukaryota; Fungi; Ascomycota; Schizosaccharomycetes; Schizosaccharomycetales; Schizosaccharomycetaceae.
CAAACCACAUAAACUUUACGAAGAAGUUGGAAUGGAAACUCUUUGCCAGAAUAAGGGUCUCUAAGAAAUCCUUCUCUAGUCCCAUUAGCUUCGUUCCAACUUAUGAGGCUCUGGAUACCAUAAACUCGACCGUUCGGGAAAGCAACAGGACAAUUGUCGCUGUCAAGUCCUUCGCCUGUCAGAGAAUCCACUAUCGCAGACUGAGUAAUAUGGGCAUAAGGAAGAGCUUUGCCAAGGUCAUUUAAGCAGGGCGUACAUACAGGGCAUUGUUUCACAGUCUGGGAUUGUAAUGCUAAAGGAUUAUCAUCAUUCGCGUCAAGAUAACACAACGGGGUUUUCAGGGAAGAUAGACCAGCAGCUAACAAUGCAUGUAAAAGAGGUACAGACGGUAUAUUAUGAACGGCAGUAAAAUUGCUGGUAAACAAGGAAGCCAAAUAUUCCCAUCGGUCAUCGGAUAGAAGCAACUAAUUUGUCAGUAUAAGCUAAGAGCAGAGGUCUCUCAAUGUAAACUUACCGAAUAUGGUGAACCAUUCGUAAAUUCAGGAAAAGCUAGUAGGGCAGCCGCUAGCUGUAGUCGAGCAGGAUGUUCAUUUGCCCAAGUACCGAAGUGCGCUUUGGCGAAUGCAAUGGCUUGGCAAAGUUUUUUACUUUUUAUUAAUUCUAUAAAUCUCUGUAGUCGGACCUCAAGCUCUAAUGUACUAUUAUUUUUUUUUAAAAUUGCUCGAUGCUCCGAACACCAAGACAAAACCUCUUUGAGCUCCUGUUGAAGAAUGGAAUCGUGAAUGAGCUGAUAACGCUUAUAUAUGCCUAAAUCAACCAAAUUCUCCAACUGAGAGUCUUUACAAAGUAGAGCAGCUGCCCCAUGGUACCCAUUCGCCAUCAUAUAAUCAGCAACUAAACGAUUCAGUCUGACUCUUGACCAAUCUAAAAAAUCCGCAGAUUCCAUGUCACGAAUUCCUUGAAGACGAUUCAUGAACAACAGUCGUGACUUAGUUUGCUUGAUAAACAGAGCUUCACAAUCAUGCAAAUGCUUCAUCUACACAAAGAACCAUGUAAGUUACAAAUAUCCAACUCAAAAAAAGAAUCAAUCAAACUUACCUUCUUCUUUACAGUACUGACUCUUGAAAGGAGAGAAUCUAUUUUUUCUAUUUUUUCAUCCAUUGAUGCAUUCUCUUGACUGAUCAACGUUGUCAAUGUGGAAUUGAUCACAUGCGAUUCAUGCUCCAAGUGCCGCAAAAUGUGUU